This 494-nucleotide ribosomal RNA is filed under the name uncultured bacterium. RNAcentral's name for it is "partial 16S ribosomal RNA". It matches the Rfam family "Bacterial small subunit ribosomal RNA", at positions 28 to 507 of the family's 1533-position model. The record is from RNAcentral.
GACGAACGCUGGCGGCGUGCUUAACACAUGCCAGUCGAACGGUGAAGCGCCUUCCUUUUUGGUGGGUGUGGAUGAGUGGCGAACGGGUGAGUAACACGUGAGUAACCUGCCCCCUUCUUCUGGAUAACCGCAUGAAAGUGUGGCUAAUACGGGAUAUUCUGGGUCUGUCGCAUGAUGGGUCUGGGAAGGUUAUUGUUUGGGGGGGGGAGGGGCUCGCGGCCUAUCAGCUUGUGGGUGGGGUGAUGGCCUACCAAGGCGGUGACGGGUAGCCGGCCUGAGAGGGUGGACGGUCACACUGGGACUGAGACACGGCCCAGACUCCUACGGGAGGCAGCAGUGGGGAAUAUUGCACAAUGGGCGCAAGCCUGAUGCAGCGACGCCGCGUGAGGGAUGGAGGCCUUCGGGUUGUGAACCUCUUUCGCCAGUGAAGCAGGCCUGCCUCGUUUGUGGGUGGGUUGACGGUAGCUGGAUAAGAAGCGCCGGCUAACUACGUG